Molecule: non-coding RNA, 29 nt
Filed under: Mus musculus (house mouse)
Lineage: Eukaryota; Metazoa; Chordata; Mammalia; Rodentia; Muridae
Source: RNAcentral
CACACACACACUGACAAAUACCUGAAAAC